RNAcentral lists this ribosomal RNA (513 nucleotides) under Polyporales sp. 3 SR-2012. RNAcentral's name for it is "eukaryotic LSU rRNA". The stretch from base 189 to 342 matches the Rfam family "5.8S ribosomal RNA". Lineage: Eukaryota; Fungi; Basidiomycota; Agaricomycetes; Polyporales. The record is from RNAcentral.
UUGGGGGGGGGGCAUGUGCACGCCCUGAUCACUAUCCAUCUCACACACCUGUGCACACACUGUAGGUUGGCUUGUGAUUGGAGCUACAGUCCUUCAUUGACUUUGCUCUGGUUGGAGGCCCUCCUAUGUAUUAUCACAAACUACUUCAGUUUAAAGAAUGUACUCUUGCGUCUAACGCAUUUAAAUACAACUUUCAGCAACGGAUCUCUUGGCUCUCGCAUCGAUGAAGAACGCAGCGAAAUGCGAUAAGUAAUGUGAAUUGCAGAAUUCAGUGAAUCAUCGAAUCUUUGAACGCACCUUGCGCUCCUUGGUAUUCCGAGGAGCAUGCCUGUUUGAGUGUCAUGGAAUUCUCAACUCUAUUUGCUUUUGUGAAUAGAGCUUGGAUUUGGAGGUUUAUUGCUGGUACUUGUGAUCGGCUCCUCUUGAAUGCAUUAGCUCGAACCUUUGCGGAUCAGCUAUCGGUGUGAUAAUUGUCUACGCCGUUGCAGUGAAGCAUAUCAAUGGGUCGGCUUC